Arachis ipaensis is the source of this 180-nucleotide non-coding RNA. The record is from RefSeq and is a predicted model, not a curated record. NCBI's taxonomy places the organism in Eukaryota, Viridiplantae, Streptophyta, Magnoliopsida, Fabales, Fabaceae.
UUGCAACAAACAAGCACAGCAGAGAUGCUGGAUUUGACUGUUGAGCACAUUAAAGAACUGCAGGAACAAGUUAAGAUGCUCACUAAUAUUAGGUCAAAGUGUAGAUGUACAAAUACUCAGAAGCAAUAUUCUUGACUCCUUUUUCAUGAUUUAGUUCCUUGUAGAUAGCAAAGGGCAGGA